GGCGGGGGCGCGGGGCGGCCAUGGCGGCUCUGGGGCUGCGCUGACCCGCCGUGACUCACCGCUGCGCCGGGGGGCAGCGCGGCCCUACACGCACCUGAGAGCCGCGCCGGAGCUGCCGGAGCCUCUGUUCAGCUCCCUCUGCCCGGCUCCCCCCGCCCGCUGCUCGGCCUCGGUUCCCGCGCCGAGCCGGGCGACCCGCAGGGUCCGGUGGGACACCCCGCACGCCCCAGCGGGGCUUGCACGGGACUCGCCGCCGCCCCAUCCCCUGCAGCCUCCGCCCGCCAGGGCUCCUCUAGGCCUCGUCACGCUGCCACCGCGGCCCUUCCCGGACACCGUCAGGCGCCGGUGCCGCGCUCGGCAGAGCCCGCGGUGCGGGGUCGGGGCUGAGACGGCCCUGCGGGACCGGGCCGGGGCUGACGGGCGCGGGCAGGCCCGGGCCGGGCUCAGCGCGGCGGGCAAGGCCACUGCCCGCCCUCCAGGGCCGUGAGGCACCGCCGCCAUCUUGGCGGGGCGCGGGCGCCGCCGCCGCGCAGGAAAUGGAGGACGCGGGGCCGUGAGGGCACCCGGGCCCCCUCAGCGCGCAGGGCACCGCCGGGCGCCCGCGCGGGGCUCCCACGCGCUACAGCCCAAAGACACGAGAGGAAAAAAGUUGUUUUGAGUCACUUAACAAAACUUACACUCGGACUCUGUGCCGUACGCAAAGCUCAGGAAUAGUGUUCCUGCUUGGUGUUCUGAGGAUGUUUACAUAAACCCUCUCCUUUGUGCCUGGGAACUUUGCAAAUGAAUUAGUGACCAAUUAUUGCCCCGAACGCACUCCCACGUUCAUGGCCUGGCAAGUACGACACACCAGCAGUGUCCAGCAUCAGUCGUCAUCCUUUUGUUCCAAGUCACACCGUUUAUGUUUAAAAAUCUUUCCCUCCCAGUCCAUCAGUUACAAGAAGGACCCGCCGAGCCCCGGGCUCAGGAAUAAAAUGUGGGGCUGAUCGUGGAGAUGCUUUGGACUGACCUUUCCUCAAGCUGUAAAUCUAAUAUUAUAGCACUAUAGUUAAGUUUCUUUUAUUAGACUAUGAGUAACAACGUAUGUCUUUUCCUCGUGUUAAGUGCAGCUCACUUAAGAUGGACUUUACGUGAGUUUAUUUGGGGUUUGUGCGCUGUAUUUGCGCGUCUGUCUGGUGCGUUUAUAAUGAGCUGUAUUUUCCACAGGGCUACACCCACUGUGCAUCAGCACGGAGGUGUGAAGAGGGGACCUCUCAGACCUAUCUCUGCAUAUUACUCUAUAAUGUCUGACAAACUUAUGCCAGGUCUUGUUCUGGCAUUUGUUUCACAGCACUGUAAAAAAUAUCAGUAUCACCAACAAGCUUUGAACCUGUAAUAAUAUUUUUUUCCAUUCAUUACUUUUUUUUGUCUUUACUGUCACGGUUCAGCAUUAUUUUCGUGGCCUUGGGUUGCCUCAGAUACAUUACAAUCCUGUUCACAAGUAGUUGCACUUUUAGUUUUCGUGGCUAGAGAUACAGGGAAGAAAAGUAAUGUGUGUAGCUAAGCAAGUGCUCAGAGCUUCUAAAUCAUGACUGUGUCUUCACUGCAUUAAAAAAGCCCAAUCAGACAACAGAUCAAUGUCACUCAGAAAGGCUACAGAGACAAAAUCACGUAUCCUCAAUUUUUUCAGCAAAUCUUUUUUUAAAGUACUAGAACCUGGUCUCUCUAUGAGUCAGGAAUUUCAGACCAACAAACCAAUUGUAAUACAACUUUUCUAACUUUUCUUGUGUUUCGCUAGUUGUACUUCUUGAACUGUCCAUGAGGCCAGGAAACUCCAAACUUAACUUUGGUGGAACCUGUAGACUUUCUGUCAGCAAAAGUUUUUGUGACUGAUAGAGAUGGUAAAUUGCCCUGAACAACGAAUCAUACACUGGACUCUCCCUUACUUGAAAUGGAAAGAGGGUGCAACUGUGAGUGAAAAUGCUUUACUCCAGAAGAGUUACUGCUGGUGGCACAUCAGUUAAUCACCCUCCCAAAGGGAACUGCCUCAAAUACAGCUCCAGUUCUUAUAAUACAGGAUAUUUUUAGCUGUGUUUCGUUAUAAUGGAGGAAAUUCUCCUCCAGCAGAUAGUAAGAGAGUCUUCUAACAGUGUUUAGUUUGUGUACUUGCCCCAAGAAUUAAUUUGGCUUGUUGUAUCUUAGUAAAGCUUGCAAUUCUUGUUUUUCAGGUUCCUCUGAUAUUUAGGCAUAGUCUUGCAGUUAGAGAACAAAAGUGAGAAGCAUGACAUCUAUUCCUGACUCAGUUACUUCCUAGAGAAAACAAAGGAGACAGAGAACAAGGUCUGCCCCUGGAUGCUGUGCCCUGCCCUCUGCAGCAAUGGAAUUCCAAUGGUCUAAGAGUCUGCAGUCAGCUCUGCGUAUUUAUUUGUUUAAAAAAGCCACAGUCAACUGAGAGCUGACACAACCCCAGUGAAAUCAGCUGCUGUACUGACAGAGGAGAGACUGCUUAACGUUUGUCCACGUCAGUGACAGUUCAGGAAGCAUCACCGGUGAUCGGAGGAGACUUCUGACAUGUAGAAGUGUGGCAUUUUACCCAAAAUACUGCAGAGGAUUUGGGAGAAUGAGCUUUCUAAAUUGAAGCAGGGGUCCUGUGGGUUGAAAUAAACCCUGAUAAUACAGUGGUAUCUCUGGAGUGGCUGGAAAACCCACGUGCACAUUUUGUGUGUUGCACAUAGGUUGUGAUGUGUAACUAAAUUCCUUUUGCCAAUGCCACAAGAAGACAGUGUGUCACUCACUGGUCCUUUGCUUCAGAAAAGAGGCUUAUAAUGGAAAAAUACUGCCAUUAAAAUUACAGGCUUGAGCACUGUUAUAGCCCAAAGUGGCAGAAACAAGCAAUGAGAAGGAGAGAUGUUCCUUCCUGUGUGCUCUGUGGCUUGACCAGCUGCAUAAGGAACAGAAAGGGAGAGUCACCAUCCACUCUGGUGCUCAAGCACAGCCAGGGGAAGACAAUGUGCCCAGUAAAAAGGGACUCUCUCUUGGAAGAGAGCAGGAACAGGCCUGCCUGAAGCACAGCUUAAAUAUUGGACGAGUUUUUAAUACAAAAUAGGAAGUGAUUCUUGAAGAUCAUAAAGACUGAUGGAGGAGUCAGAGUAAAUCCAAGUCUUUUGGCAUACAUGGAAAUGCUGUUUGAAUUUCUUACCCCACUACAUGAGCAACGAGACUUCACACGUCUAAGGCAUUUUUUCCCCAGUGUUUCGUGAUUAUUUGACCAACUUUACAACAUGUUGGGUGUGGAAUCAUAGAAUUGUUAGGCUGGAAAAGAUCUUCAAGAUCAUCGAGUCCAACCACUCCCCAGCACUGCCAAGGCCACCGUUAACCCAUGUCCCCAGGUGCCACAUCCACAGGAGAAGACAAACAGGUUCCUUGAGUAGAAACAAAGAUCUGCCUAAAAUGUGCCAGUGUUUCCAUUGUGGCCAGUGUUUCAAUUCUAGUUCUUUUAGGAAGACUUUACAAGAAGAGUAAAAAGCAGGAACAACCUAUAAUGUAAUUUUUAAGAGACCUGUCAGCGUAGUUUCUGUUUCAAUGCCAGCUAGAGAUGGGGGCAUAAAAUGUUUCUAUAGCCUGCAAAAGGGGACUCCCAAUACACUGCAUGAGGGAUCUAGGCAUCACUGGUGUAUUUGGCACAAAAUAUCAAAUUGUGUGUAUGGACUUCACAGCUGCAGACACCUGGUUUUCAAGACAUCUCUGAUUCCAAGUUGAUGGUAUGACAUAUACUAUAUAUGACUGGCUUGUUGUUAUAUAAACACUGUAAAAGUAGAGAGAGUCACCUAAGAGAAGGAUGGUAUUUGUUAUUCAAUAAAAUGGAGUAAAAAGCCUGUCAUUGCUCAUAAA
Pipra filicauda (Wire-tailed manakin) is the source of this 3867-nucleotide long non-coding RNA. RefSeq lists it as uncharacterized. The transcript has 5 exons. The record is from RefSeq and is a predicted model, not a curated record. NCBI's taxonomy places the organism in Eukaryota, Metazoa, Chordata, Aves, Passeriformes, Pipridae.